AGAUUAAGUUAUUAAGGGCGCACGGUGGAUGCCUUGGCACUAGAAGCCGACGAAGGACGUUACUAACGACGAUAUGCUUUGGGUAGCUGUAAGUAAGCGUUGAUCCAGAGAUUUCCGAAUGGGGGAACCCAGCACGAGUUAUGUCGUGUUAUCGACAAGUGAAUUCAUAGCUUGUCAGAAGGCAGACCCGGAGAACUGAAACAUCUUAGUACCCGGAGGAAGAGAAAGAAAAAUCGAUUCCCUGAGUAGCGGCGAGCGAAACGGGAAGAGCCCAAACCAAUAAGCUUGCUUAUUGGGGUUGUAGGACACUCUAUACGGAGUUACAAAGGAAUAUAUUAGACGAAUCAUCUGGAAAGUUGAAUCAAAGAAGGUAAUAAUCCUGUAGUUGAAAAUAUAUUCUCUCUUGAGUGGAUCCUGAGUACGACGGAGCACGUGAAAUUCCGUCGGAAUCUGGGAGGACCAUCUCCUAAGGCUAAAUACUCUCUAGUGACCGAUAGUGAACCAGUACCGUGAGGGAAAGGUGAAAAGUACCCCGGAAGGGGAGUGAAAGAGAACUUGAAACCGUGUGCUUACAAGUAGUCAGAGCCCGUUAAUGGGUGAUGGCGUGCCUUUUGUAGAAUGAACCGGCGAGUUACGAUCUGAUGCAAGGUUAAGCAGGAGAUGUGGAGCCGUAGCGAAAGCGAGUCUGAAUAGGGCGUUGAGUAUUUGGUCGUAGACCCGAAACCAGGUGAUCUACCCAUGGUCAGGUUGAAGUUCAGGUAACACUGAAUGGAGGACCGAACCGACUUACGUUGAAAAGUGAGCGGAUGAACUGUGGGUAGCGGAGAAAUUCCAAUCGAACUUGGAGAUAGCUGGUUCUCUCCGAAAUAGCUUUAGGGCUAGCCUCAAGUGAUGAUUAUUGGAGGUAGAGCACUGUUUGGACGAGGGGCCCCUCUCGGGUUACCGAAUUCAGACAAACUCCGAAUGCCAAUUAAUUUAACUUGGGAGUCAGAACAUGGGUGAUAAGGUCCGUGUUCGAAAGGGAAACAGCCCAGACCACCAGCUAAGGUCCCAAAAUAUAUGUUAAGUGGAAAAGGAUGUGGCGUUGCCCAGACAACUAGGAUGUUGGCUUAGAAGCAGCCAUCAUUUAAAGAGUGCGUAAUAGCUCACUAGUCGAGUGACACUGCGCCGAAAAUGUACCGGGGCUAAACAUAUUACCGAAGCUGUGGAUUGUCCGUAGGA
This 1221-nucleotide ribosomal RNA is filed under the name Staphylococcus haemolyticus. RNAcentral's name for it is "bacterial LSU rRNA". It matches the Rfam family "Bacterial large subunit ribosomal RNA", at positions 1 to 1218 of the family's 2925-position model. The record is from RNAcentral. Lineage: Bacteria; Bacillati; Bacillota; Bacilli; Caryophanales; Staphylococcaceae.